GACGAACGCUGGCGGCGUGCUUAACACAUGCAAGUCGAACGGGAAGGCCCCUUCGGGGGUACUCGAGUGGCGAACGGGUGAGUAACACGUGAGUAACCUGCCCUUGACUUCGGGAUAACUUCAGGAAACUGGGGCUAAUACCGGAUAGGAAUCCUUGCUGCAUGGUGGGGGUUGGAAAGCUUCGGCGGUUUUGGAUGGACUCGCGGCUUAUCAGCUUGUUGGUGGGGUAGUGGCUUACCAAGGCUUUGACGGGUAGCCGGCCUGAGAGGGCGACCGGCCACAUUGGGACUGAGAUACGGCCCAGACUCCUACGGGAGGCAGCAGUGGGGAAUAUUGCACAAUGGGCGGAAGCCUGAUGCAGCAACGCCGCGUGCGGGAUGACGGCCUUCGGGUUGUAAACCGCUUUCAGCAGGGGCGAAGCUUGUGGUGACGGUACCUGCAGAAGAAGCACCGGCUAACUACGUG
Molecule: ribosomal RNA, 465 nt
Filed under: uncultured bacterium
Lineage: Bacteria
Description: partial 16S ribosomal RNA
Rfam family: Bacterial small subunit ribosomal RNA
Source: RNAcentral